RNAcentral lists this long non-coding RNA (391 nucleotides) under Fukomys damarensis (Damara mole-rat). RNAcentral's name for it is "lncRNA (ENSFDAG00000023368.1)". The record is from RNAcentral. Lineage: Eukaryota; Metazoa; Chordata; Mammalia; Rodentia; Bathyergidae.
UUCUGCUCAAAGUGGAAAGAAAUUCAGUGAGUCCUUUCUUUCCAAGAGAAGUGGUACAAUAAGUCUCAAAGAAUCUCUCCCCUGAAGCCUGCACUCAGAGACCCCAGUGCCAAGGUCACCCACCUCUACAAUGGGCUGGAAUCACAGCCAUGACUAACUUCCAGACAGCAGCACAGCUAACCUUCCUGUAUAUUCUCACUCUACACCAAUAAGGAUGGACAUGCAGCCAGGCACAGUGGUUCACGUCUAAAAUCCAACUCCAGGGUUACCUAGCAAGUUCAAAGUCAGCCUUACCCUGCCUCAGAAACUUAAAAAAAUAAAUAAAGGAAAGACAAAAUUAAAUAAAAGCAUGGUGUUACAAGGUAAGGGAUUUUUUUAAUAGAUUAGCAUU